AUGCACGCUGGCGGCGUGCCUCAUCCCUGCAAGUCGCGCGAACAGACGAGGAGCUUGCUCCUCUGACGUUAGCGGCGGACGGGUGAGUAACACGUGGAUAACCUACCUAUAAGACUGGGAUAACUUCGGGAAACCGGAGCUAAUACCGGAUAAUAUAUUGAACCGCAUGGUUCAAUAGUGAAAGACGGUUUUGCUGUCACUUAUAGAUGGAUCCGCGCCGCAUUAGCUAGUUGGUAAGGUAACGGCUUACCAAGGCAACGAUGCGUAGCCGACCUGAGAGGGUGAUCGGCCACACUGGAACUGAGACAUGGUCCAGACUCCUACGGGAGGCAGCAGUAGGGAAUCUUCCGCAAUGGGCGAAAGCCUGACGGAGCAACGCCGCGUGAGUGAUGAAGGUCUUCGGAUCGUAAAACUCUGUUAUUAGGGAAGAACAAAUGUGUAAGUAACUAUGCACGUCUUGACGGUACCUAAUCAGAAAGCCACGGCUAACUACGUG
Molecule: ribosomal RNA, 496 nt
Filed under: uncultured bacterium
Lineage: Bacteria
Description: partial 16S ribosomal RNA
Rfam family: Bacterial small subunit ribosomal RNA
Source: RNAcentral